CAAGUAGUGAAGGUUGCUAGUCACAAUCACGUUAAGUAAAUUCUUGGCAUAAGUUUCAUGCAAAUCAUAGUAACAAGUGCUUCGUUAAUGCUUAUGGUUUUCAUAGAAUUUAAUGAUUCUUGCUUGUAUCUCUAUUAUGCAAUCAUGUAGGGGACUUGUGGGGAAUGUUUUGGGUUGUCGUAUGCAAUCAUCCAAUUCAAUAACGUUAGGAAAAUCUGAAGGUUAAUUUAAGCGGACCUAAUUAACUUGGGGCGUUGAGAAUUCAUGGUUUAUUAAAAUGCAAUUGGAAAUCGUUUUGUAUGCAAGUAUAACAUGUGUGGAUGAAACCCUUAGCUAGCCUUCCAUUAUCCAUUCAACCCAAAAUUGUUUAAAAUCUAUUUAAGUUUUUAGUUUAUUCGUUUUUACUUUCAACCUCACCAAACUCAAAUCCCCCUUUUACUUUCUUGUUUUAAAAUCUUUUGUUUACAUUUUUAACUUUGUUUCUUUUUGUUUUUUAGUCAGUUUAGAGGUUUUAGCAAGCCCUCCUAAUCCCCGGUUUAGAACGAUCCCUACUUACAUACUUUGCUACAAUUGUCAAAAGAGGGUUUAAUUUGUGUGUCAAGUAAUUCUCGCAUCAGUCUCCACACCAAGGGUGAGGUGUGAAGAUGAAAUGGAUGACUUAGAGAAGAAAAGAUUGCUAGAUAAAUCUCCUCUAAGUGGCCGGCCUCCUUGUUGAAAAAGAGAGAAUAGGUUUCACCUAUUUUCUACAAGAAAAAACCCAAAUGAGAAAAAUAGCUAUAAAGUUGCUUUUAUAACACUUUUCUUAG
RNAcentral lists this long non-coding RNA (806 nucleotides) under Malus domestica (apple). RNAcentral's name for it is "long non-coding RNA (MDOM_LNC019173)". Lineage: Eukaryota; Viridiplantae; Streptophyta; Magnoliopsida; Rosales; Rosaceae. The record is from RNAcentral.